GUUCGUAGGCGGUUUAAUAAGUUGGAUAUGAAAGACCGGAGCUCAACUUCGUGUUUGUGUUCAAAACUGUUAAACUAGAAUCAGGGAGAGGUAAGUAGAAUUCUAAGUGUAGGGGUGCAAUCCGUAGAUACUUAGAGGAAUACCAAAAGCGAAGGCAACUUACUGGAACUGUAUUGACGCUGAGGAACGAAAGCGUGGGUAGCGAAAAGGAUUAGAUACCCUUGUAGUCCACGCCCUAAACGAUGAUAACUAAGUGUUGCUCCUAGAGGGCAGUGCUGAAGCUAACGCAAUAAGUUAUCCACCUGAGGAGUACGGUCGCAAGAUUAAAACUCAAAGGAAUAGACGGGGACCCACACAAGCAGUGGAUCACGUGGUUUAAUUCGACAAUAAACGGGGAACCUUACCCAGACUUGACAUCCUAAGAAUCUUCUAGAGAUAGAAGAGUGCCUUUAUUGGAACUUAGUGACAGGUGCUGCAUGGUUGUUGUCAGCUCGUGCCUUGAGGUGUUCGGUUAAGUCCGUUAACGAGCGCAACCCAUGUCCUUAGUUAUUAUGUCUAAGGAGACUGCCUUGGUUAACAAGGAGGAAGGUGUGGAUGACGUCAAGUCCUCAUGGC
Molecule: ribosomal RNA, 615 nt
Filed under: Pseudoalteromonas fuliginea
Lineage: Bacteria; Pseudomonadati; Pseudomonadota; Gammaproteobacteria; Alteromonadales; Pseudoalteromonadaceae
Description: bacterial SSU rRNA
Rfam family: Bacterial small subunit ribosomal RNA
Source: RNAcentral